CAGCAGUCCAAGAAUAUUAGUCAAUGCUCGAAAGAGUGAACUAGCUAACUGAAAUCAAUUAAAAAAUUGAUAACAUAAGGGAAAAUAAUGAUAUUACCUUAUUAUUAGUGUCGUCCAAAACUGGUGCCAGAAGACUCGGUAAGGCCAGAGACAUAAACGUUAAUCGUCUUAAUCAGGCGUAAAGGGUUUGUAGGCGGCUUUUAAUUAAUUUAUAAUAAAAUUAAAAAAUAAAAAUAAAUUAAGAAUAAAAGCUAGAAUCAAAUAGAGGAUAUAUCAAAUAAUGCUUAGAGUAGGUCUGAUAUCCUUAAAUACUAAGUAGAAUAUUAAAGGCGAAAGCUUUUUUCCAUUAAUGAUUGACGCUCAGAAACGAAGGUGAGGAUAGGAAAUAGGAUUAGAUACCCAAAAUACCCCUCUCUGUCAACGAUGAAUGGUAAUUAUUAGUAAUUAAUUUAUUAAUGAUAAUGUUAACACGAUAACCAUUCCGCCUUGUGAGUACAACUGCAAAGUUGAAAACAAAAAAAUUAGUCGGUUUCGGAGCAAACGAAGUGAAGCAUGUUAUUUAAUUCAAUAAAUCCGCA
RNAcentral lists this ribosomal RNA (578 nucleotides) under Russula sp. Its description in RNAcentral is "SSU rRNA". It matches the Rfam family "Bacterial small subunit ribosomal RNA", at positions 349 to 965 of the family's 1533-position model. Lineage: Eukaryota; Fungi; Basidiomycota; Agaricomycetes; Russulales; Russulaceae. The record is from RNAcentral.